RNAcentral lists this ribosomal RNA (351 nucleotides) under Acrapex sp. ACASG8350. RNAcentral's name for it is "partial 12S small subunit ribosomal RNA". Lineage: Eukaryota; Metazoa; Arthropoda; Insecta; Lepidoptera; Noctuidae. The record is from RNAcentral.
AAAAUUUAAAAUUAAAAUACUAAAAUAGUAAGUAAAUUUUUAUUGAAACUUAAAUAAUUUGGCGGUAUUUUAGUUCAUUUAGAGGAAUCUGUUUAAUAAUUGAUAUUCCACGAAUAAAUUUACUUAAUUUAUAAUUUUGUAUAUCGUUGUUAAAAAAAUAUUUUUUUAUAAAAUUAAUAUUUAAAAAUUAUUAUAAAAAUUUAAAUCAGAUCAAGAUGCAGGUUAUAAUUAAGAAUAUAAUGGAUUACAAUAAAUUUAUUUAAAUGAAUAUUAAUUUGUAAAAAUUAAUUGAAAGUGGAUUUAAAUGUAAUUUUAUUUAAUUUGAUAAAAUGAUUAAAAAUUAAAAUAUGU